ACUUCGCAAGAACGGGAAGAAUAAGUAAGGGUUAAUAUCUCUUACGAUGACGGUACUGUUUGUAAGCUCCGGCUAACUCCGUGCCAGCAGCCGCGGUAAUACGGGGGGAGCAAGCGUUGUUCGGAUUUACUGGGCGUAAAGGGCGCGUAGGCGGCCACCGCAAGUCGACUGUGAAAUCUCCGGGCUUAACCCGGAAAGGUCAGCCGAUACUGCGGGGCUAGAGUGCAGAAGGGGCAACUGGAAUUCUCGGUGUAGCGGUGAAAUGCGUAGAUAUCGAGAGGAACACCUGCGGCGAAGGCGGGUUGCUGGGCUGACACUGACGCUGAGGCGCGAAAGCUAGGGGAGCGAACGGGAUUAGAUACCCCGGUAGUCCUAGCCUUAAACGAUGAAUGCUUGGUGUCUGGGGUUUUAUAGUCCCCGGGUGCCGUCGCUAACGCUUUAAGCAUUCCGCCUGGGGAGUACGGUCGCAAGACUGAAACUCAAAGGAAUUGACGGGGACCCGCACAAGCGGUGGAGCAUGUGGUUUAAUUCGACGCAACGCGAAGAACCUUACCUGGGCUAGAAUGCCUCUGACCGCCAUAGAGAUAUGGCUUCCUGGGUAAAACCAGGCAGAGUGCAAG
Molecule: ribosomal RNA, 620 nt
Filed under: uncultured Acidobacteriota bacterium
Lineage: Bacteria; Pseudomonadati; Acidobacteriota
Description: bacterial SSU rRNA
Rfam family: Bacterial small subunit ribosomal RNA
Source: RNAcentral